CAAAAACAUGUCUUUUUGUAUUUAAUUUAAAGUCUAAUCUGCCCACUGAUUUUUAAUUAAAGGGCUGCAGUAAUUUGACUGUACAAAGGUAGCAUAAUCAUUAGUCUUUUAAUUGAAGACUUGUAUGAAAGAUUUGAUGAGAUAUAAACUGUCUCUUUAUUACAAUUAAAAUUUAAUUUUUUAGUUAAAAAGCUAAAAUAUUUUUAAAAGACGAGAAGACCCUAUAGAGUUUUAUAGUUUUUAUUAUAAAAUAUUUAUAUAAAAUUUUAAUGUUAUAUUAUAAAAAUUAUUUUGUUGGGGAGAUAAAAAAAUUAAAUAAACUUUUUUAAAUAUUUUCAUGAAUAAUUGAGUAAUUGAUCCAUAUUUAUUGAUUAAAAGAAAAAAUUACCUUAGGGAUAACAGCGUAAUAUUUUUUUUUAGUACAAAUAAGAAAAAAAGUUUGCGACCUCGAUGUUGGAUUAAGAUAAAAUUUAAAUGUAAAAGUUUAAAAUUUUGAUCUGUUCGAUCAUUAAAAUCUUACAUGAUCUGA
Molecule: ribosomal RNA, 529 nt
Filed under: Talicada nyseus
Lineage: Eukaryota; Metazoa; Arthropoda; Insecta; Lepidoptera; Lycaenidae
Description: partial 16S ribosomal RNA
Rfam family: Bacterial large subunit ribosomal RNA (bases 395-529)
Source: RNAcentral